AUACGGAGGGUGCGAGCGUUGUUCGGAAUUAUUGGGCGUAAAGCGCGUGUAGGCGGUUUGUUAAGUCUGAUGUGAAAGCCCUGGGCUCAACCUGGGAAGUGCAUUGGAUACUGGUAGACUUGAGUACGGGAGAGGGUAGUGGAAUUCCCAGUGUAGGAGUGAAAUCCGUAGAUAUUGGGAGGAACACCGGUGGCGAAGGCGGCUGCCUGGACCGAUACUGACGCUGAGACGCGAAAGCGUGGGUAGC
RNAcentral lists this ribosomal RNA (247 nucleotides) under uncultured bacterium. RNAcentral describes it as "partial 16S ribosomal RNA". It matches the Rfam family "Bacterial small subunit ribosomal RNA", at positions 523 to 769 of the family's 1533-position model. The record is from RNAcentral.